UAGCUUGCUACCUGACCUAGCGGCGGACGGGUGAGUAAUGCUUAGGAAUCUGCCUAUUAGUGGGGGACAACAUUCCGAAAGGAAUGCUAAUACCGCAUACGCCCUACGGGGGAAAGCAGGGGAUCUUCGGACCUUGCGCUAAUAGAUGAGCCUAAGUCAGAUUAGCUAGUUGGUGGGGUAAAGGCCUACCAAGGCGACGAUCUGUAGCGGGUCUGAGAGGAUGAUCCGCCACACUGGGACUGAGACACGGCCCAGACUCCUACGGGAGGCAGCAGUGGGGAAUAUUGGACAAUGGGCGAAAGCCUGAUCCAGCCAUGCCGCGUGUGUGAAGAAGGCCUUUUGGUUGUAAAGCACUUUAAGCGAGGAGGAGGCUACUUGGAUUAAUACUCUAGGAUAGUGGACGUUACUCGCAGAAUAAGCACCGGCUAACUCUGUGCCAGCAGCCGCGGUAAUACAGAGGGUGCGAGCGUUAAUCGGAUUUACUGGGCGUAAAGCGUGCGUAGGCGGCUUUUUAAGUCGGAUGUGAAAUCCCUGAGCUUAACUUAGGAAUUGCAUUCGAUACUGGGAAGCUAGAGUAUGGGAGAGGAUGGUAGAAUUCCAGGUGUAGCGGUGAAAUGCGUAGAGAUCUGGAGGAAUACCGAUGGCGAAGGCAGCCAUCUGGCCUAAUACUGACGCUGAGGUACGAAAGCAUGGGGAGCAAACAGGAUUAGAUACCCUGGUAGUCCAUGCCGUAAACGAUGUCUACUAGCCGUUGGGGCCUUUGAGGCUUUAGUGGCGCAGCUAACGCGAUAAGUAGACCGCCUGGGGAGUACGGUCGCAAGACUAAAACUCAAAUGAAUUGACGGGGGCCCGCACAAGCGGUGGAGCAUGUGGUUUAAUUCGAUGCAACGCGAAGAACCUUACCUGGUCUUGACAUAGUAAGAACUUUCCAGAGAUGGAUUGGUGCCUUCGGGAACUUACAUACAGGUGCUGCAUGGCUGUCGUCAGCUCGUGUCGUGAGAUGUUGGGUUAAGUCCCGCAACGAGCGCAACCCUUUUCCUUAUUUGCCAGCGGGUUAAGCCGGGAACUUUAAGGAUACUGCCAGUGACAAACUGGAGGAAGGCGGGGACGACGUCAAGUCAUCAUGGCCCUUACGACCAGGGCUACACACGUGCUACAAUGGUCGGUACAAAGGGUUGCUACCUAGCGAUGGGAUGCUAAUCUCAAAAAGCCGAUCGUAGUCCGGAUUGGAGUCUGCAACUCGACUCCAUGAAGUCG
Molecule: ribosomal RNA, 1257 nt
Filed under: uncultured Acinetobacter sp.
Lineage: Bacteria; Pseudomonadati; Pseudomonadota; Gammaproteobacteria; Moraxellales; Moraxellaceae
Description: bacterial SSU rRNA
Rfam family: Bacterial small subunit ribosomal RNA
Source: RNAcentral